CCUACGGGAGGCAGCAGUGGGGAAUCUUGCACAAUGGAGGAAACUCUGAUGCAGCGAUGCCGCGUGAGUGAAGAAGGCCCUUGGGUUGUAAAGCUCUUUCGUCGGGGAAGAAAAUGACUGUACCCGAAUAAGAAGGUCCGGCUAACUUCGCGCCAGCAGCCGCGGUAAUACGAAGGGACCUAGCGUAGUUCGGAAUUACUGGGCUUAAAGAGUUCGUAGGUGGUUGAAAAAGUUGGUGGUGAAAUCCCAGGGCUUAACUCUGGAACUGCCAUCAAAACUUUUCAGCUAGAGUAUGAUAGAGGAAAGCAGAAUUUCUAGUGUAGAGGUGAAAUUCGUAGAUAUUAGAAAGAAUACCAAUUGCGAAGGCAGCUUUCUGGAUCAUUACUGACACUGAGGAACGAAAGCAUGGGUAGCGAAGAGGAUUAGAUACCCUCGUAGUCCAUGCCGUAAACGAUGUGUGUUAGACGUUGGAAAUUUAUUUUCAGUGUCGCAGCGAAAGCGAUAAACACACCGCCUGGGGAGUACGACCGCAAGGUUAAAACUCAAAUGAAUUGACGG
Molecule: ribosomal RNA, 558 nt
Filed under: uncultured bacterium
Lineage: Bacteria
Description: bacterial SSU rRNA
Rfam family: Bacterial small subunit ribosomal RNA
Source: RNAcentral